AGGCAGAAGGCCUGAUCAGGUCAAGCAAGAAGGGCACAGAGAAGAAAAAAGAGUGGGUCAGACUGCCUUAAUUGCUAAGUACCACAAGCCUACAUAUAUUCAUAAAACACACAGACCAACACCAGGACAACUUUUUCUUUUCGUCUCACCUUGUAAAGCUGCUGUCCUUUCCUGCUCACUCCUUGUGGCAAGGCAGAAAGCCAAGAGCACAGAUGGCACAGGCAGAAGAGAGAGCAAUUUCACAGUCAUUUUAGCUUAUUCACAAGCAGCAUCCUACAAAAUGGAAAAGCACAGGGGAAAUAAUUACCUUUAUGGACUUCCCUCUUUGAGAUUCAGGCAGCCACCUUCAAAUCCUGAGACUCCUUGUGUGUCCUUGCUGUGCACUCCCUGAUCGUAGCCAUGUUAAUCACAUGACUGGCCAACAGACUGGCUUUGCCAGUUAAGUAUCUCCCUCUGCUUUUUUUUUUUUUUUGUUCAUUCCAUGUCCUCCUUAAAUGACUUGUUCUGUUCUCCACCCCCAAUCACAAUCUUCCAGGCCUGCACUCGGGACAGCCAGUUCCUCCCACCUGCUAUCAUUGCUCCACCCACCUUUCCACCUGCAUACAAGGAGAAAAUGAAACCUGGACUCUUAAAAUCAACAAACCGCCUGCACUCGGGACAGCCAGUUCCUCCCACCUGCUAUCAUUGCUCCACCCACCUUUCCACCUGCAUACAAGGAGAAAAUGAAACCUGGACUCUUAAAAUCAACAAACCCACCCAGCGUGUUGGCAGCAAAACAGCCGACCAAGAGUUUGCUCAGUAAAGAGCCAGGAGGCAGGUUGCUCAAAAGCUCUGCAGCUGUGAGGAUUGCCGCUCUGUGGCACUAAGCCAGCCGGUUAUCCUGGAUCCUGGCAAAGACUGCUGUGGACUAUAAACAUGAAAAUGCCCCAAGGAGUAAACAAGAACCCCCCUAAGGAGUAAACAAGGAAAAUACACCAAGGAGGCCUGCUUUCAGGCAAACUGUUAGAUCUCAAGACAAGACCAAACCUGACAGCUACACCAUGUGUGUAAGUUCUAUUACUGAACUGAAAAACAAUACUAGUAGAGCUGAAUUCUCUUUUUUAAUCUGUAAAAGAUGUGCUGCUGUUUUCUUUUUAAAUGUAGCAUAAAAUACACACUCAGGGCUACUCAUAAUUCUGAUCGUGAAGUGCAGCUGAUAUACAGUUCAGUUGUGAAAGAAAAUGCAUAAAAGAGGAACAACUCUCCAAUUACAGAGAAGCUUUCAGAAACCUAAACAUGAAACAUGGAAUAACCACUAGGCUCCCC
This 1305-nucleotide long non-coding RNA is filed under the name Podarcis muralis (Common wall lizard). RNAcentral's name for it is "lncRNA (ENSPMRG00000000968.1)". Lineage: Eukaryota; Metazoa; Chordata; Lepidosauria; Squamata; Lacertidae. The record is from RNAcentral.